UAGUUCAAUUGGUAGAGCACCGGUCUCCAAAACCGGGUGUUGGGAGUUCGAGUCUCU
This 57-nucleotide transfer RNA is filed under the name Salmonella enterica subsp. enterica serovar Heidelberg str. 92-0144. RNAcentral describes it as "tRNA-Trp". It matches the Rfam family "tRNA", at positions 8 to 62 of the family's 71-position model. Rfam says of the family: Transfer RNA (tRNA) molecules are approximately 80 nucleotides in length. Their secondary structure includes four short double-helical elements and three loops (D, anti-codon, and T loops). The record is from RNAcentral. Lineage: Bacteria; Pseudomonadati; Pseudomonadota; Gammaproteobacteria; Enterobacterales; Enterobacteriaceae.